Molecule: ribosomal RNA, 376 nt
Filed under: uncultured bacterium
Lineage: Bacteria
Description: bacterial SSU rRNA
Rfam family: Bacterial small subunit ribosomal RNA
Source: RNAcentral
AAACGUAGGACGCGAGCGUUAUCCGGAUUUACUGGGCGUAAAGCGCGUGCAGGCGGUCUGUUAAGUCGUGCGUGAAAGCUCCCUGGCUUAACCGGGAGAGGUCGUACGAAACUGGCAGACUUGAGGGCAGCAGAGGAGUGUGGAAUUCCGGGUGUAGUGGUGAAAUGCGUAGAUAUCCGGAGGAACACCAGUGGCGAAGGCGACACUCUGGGCUGUACCUGACGCUAAGACGCGAAAGCAUGGGUAGCGAACGGGAUUAGAAACCCUGGUAGUCCAUGCCGUAAACGAUGUGCACUAGGCGUAGGGGGGUCAUACCCGUUGUGCCGAAGCUAACGCGAUAAGUGCACCGCCUGGGGACUACGGCCGCAAGGCUAAA